GAUGAACGCUGGCGGCGUGCCUAACACAUGCAAGUCGAACGGAAAGGCCCUGCUUUUGUGGGGUGCUCGAGUGGCGAACGGGUGUGUAACACGUGAGUAACCUGCCCCUGACUUUGGGAUAACUUCAGGAAACUGGGGCUAAUACCGGAUAGGAGCUCCUGCUGCAUGGUGGGGGUUGGAAAGUUUCGGCGGUUGUGGAUGGACUCGCGGCUUAUCAGCUUGUUGGUGGGGUAGUGGCUUACCAAGGCUUUGACGGGUAGCCGGCCUGAGAGGGUGACCGGCCACAUUGGGACUGAGAUACGGAGCAGACGCCUACGGGAGGCAGCAGGGGAGAGCCUGGCGCAGUGGGCGGGAGCCUGAUGCAGAGACGCCGGGUGCGGGAUGCCGGGCUUCGAGUGAUGAACCGCUUUCGCAUGUGACGAGGCGUGAGUGACGGUAAUGAGUAAAGAAGCACCGGCUAACUACGUG
This 468-nucleotide ribosomal RNA is filed under the name uncultured bacterium. RNAcentral describes it as "partial 16S ribosomal RNA". It matches the Rfam family "Bacterial small subunit ribosomal RNA", at positions 28 to 507 of the family's 1533-position model. The record is from RNAcentral.